UACAGAGGUCUCGAGCGUUGUUCGGAUUCAUUGGGCGUAAAGGGUGCGUAGGUGGCGAGGUAAGUCGGAUGUGAAAUCCCGGGGCUCAACCCCGGAACUGCAUUCGAUACUGCCCUGCUAGAGUACUGGAGAGGAGAUUGGAAUUUACGGUGUAGCAGUGAAAUGCGUAGAUAUCGUAAGGAAGACCAGUGGCGAAGGCGGAUCGCUGGACAGUUACUGACACUGAGGCACGAAGGCCAGGGGAGCAAACGGG
RNAcentral lists this ribosomal RNA (253 nucleotides) under uncultured bacterium. Its description in RNAcentral is "partial 16S ribosomal RNA". It matches the Rfam family "Bacterial small subunit ribosomal RNA", at positions 524 to 776 of the family's 1533-position model. The record is from RNAcentral.